Molecule: transfer RNA, 83 nt
Filed under: Candidatus Zixiibacteriota bacterium
Lineage: Bacteria; Pseudomonadati; Candidatus Zixiibacteriota
Also listed under: 1 other name
Rfam family: tRNA
About the family: Transfer RNA (tRNA) molecules are approximately 80 nucleotides in length. Their secondary structure includes four short double-helical elements and three loops (D, anti-codon, and T loops).
Source: Rfam by way of RNAcentral
GCCGAAGUGGUGAAAUUGGCAGACACGCUGUGUUCAGGGCGCAGUGCCCACAAGGCGUGGGGGUUCAAAUCCCCCCUUCGGCA